Cyprinus carpio (common carp) is the source of this 4129-nucleotide RNA transcript. It is a transcript of the gene named zinc finger protein 239-like, with no coding region annotated. The transcript is spliced from 8 exons. NCBI's taxonomy places the organism in Eukaryota, Metazoa, Chordata, Actinopteri, Cypriniformes, Cyprinidae. The record is from RefSeq and is a predicted model, not a curated record.
CAUAGCUUCAUUCUCUGGUUUUCCUGAUGGUUUCAUCCAUCAAGCAUCAUUUGCCCUUUGCCAUGUAUGAGUGAUUGUUUGUUGGUUUGUGAGACUAGUUUGUGUUAGUGUUUAGUUAAUAAAACUCUUGUGCACAAAUUACAUGAGUUUCUGAUUCUGCCUUACAAAUCAAUGUCCCUUUACGAUUUUGGUCUGUGGUACAUGCUCUAAUGCAUUAGUAGGCUACUGUAAGUCACAAAAAUAUCCUUUCUCAGAUUUUAUAUGAAAUUACUCUAAAUGUUCACUGGACGAACAGAUUAGUUGAUGGCAAUUUAAUUCUACUACAGUUACUACUGGCAGCUAAUAGAAAUAAUUGUAAAUAAUCAUAAUUAAUUGUAAUUAUAUAUACACACACAGAUACACAUUUCCCUUUUGAGAUAAUUUGUUACAGUGUUUUUACAUAUGAGUCUGUAAUUUUCUGUUUGUUGAACUUUAGAUUGUACAACACGUUUGAAGGAUGUAAAUUGAUCAAGCAAGUGGGCUUAUCAGGUUUUUUUUCCAUGUUAUAGGUCUCAGCGGUUCCGAACACUAUGUGCUGUGUGACCGUGAUACUCUUCUUGAGGAUACUGAGGUUUCUAUUUCCUCACAGACCACCAAAUGAUAUAAUCCAAAAUAUAAAUCAGUUGAGAAAGCAAAGUCACUAGGUCCAGGACAAUGGGUCUCCAAAGUUUGUGCAACUGUCUGCAAACUAAACAUACCAACAACUAUAAAGGCCUGGGAUGGAUACUAUGAAAUUCAAGACUGUUCUAUCCAAGACUGAUGUGGACAGAUUAUAGUUACACUUUGGGAAAUGCACAUCUCCCAGCUUGUACUAGGUAAAUCCUACACUUUCAAAAGCCUUGAAACUAGACAAAUCCAAAACAUGAAGAAGCUCACAACAACUCCCAGCACAACCAUUGAACUCAUUCAACAAGAUGAAGUCUUUCCACCUGGUCAGGGCCCUCAAAUCAUUGAGGAGCCCCUACCCAACUGCAGGUAUAACAGUAAAACCAACAGGGGCCCAAAUAAGCAUUAAAAAACGGUGUCCAAAAUGCCAUAAACCUCAGAAAAACUUAAGUGUGAAACAAGAAUUUCACUGAUGUCACACUUCCAAAAUUCUGUGCAAAACGUACAACUAUAUAAUAAAAUGCAAUGGCAUUACAGAACUCGAACAAGAUGUUCGCAUAAUCACCCUUUCAAUUUCCCCAUUCUUACAAACUCAUAUCACAGGUCUUGCACUUGUCUACCUGUGACUCUCAAGAUACUGAGGAGCUUUUUCUAAGCACUGACUUACAAUGAUUGUUUAGAAAUCAUCAAUGUAGAAAAAACUUCUUCAGCUCAUCCCAGUGAUGAGGAGUUAAUAGAAAUGUCUUUGAAUGAAACAAACUCUGUCAUCUGUGUAAAAGACACACCGGACAAUAUCAGUCCUACACCUCAGUCUCCUGUUAAAGGGGUCAUAUGAUGCUAUUUGAAGUGACCAUAAUGGGGUUGGCCCUGGAAUUGCUGCUAACAGCUAUAUUAACUAAGUUUAUUUCUGUUUUCUCUAUUCUAUUUCUGUGUGCUGUUGAAGAGUGGGUCAGACUGGGACAGAUUAGACAAAAAAAGGUCACAUAUGCCCCUAAAAAAAGGUAAGUUGAGUACCCAUUAAGUUAUAUGGUGGAUAUUGGUAGUUUGAGAAAAACAGAUUAAAUCUGCAAGUGUACUGAAACUUUUAAUUUAUUGAAUAAUUGGCAGAGACACCAGUACAGUAGCUCGAUGACAUCCAAAGAGUGUAGGAGGCAGUACAACAAAAUCUGGGCUAGAGUAUCAAGGGCACAAAAGAAGGCAGACAACAAAGAAAUGAUCAGUUCAGUUGAGAUGGCCAGCAUCGCUGAAAGUGACAGCCUUAGUCACUACCAGCACAUUGAGGAGCAUCAUCUUGACAUGUUUUCAGAUCCAGCCCUGUCAAGUUCUGAGCGCGAACAAGAACUUUCCGAAUGGGCAUGUAUGUUUCAAGUUAAACAUAAUGCUGUAGAUGCUCUAUUAAACAUCCUUGAAAGACAUGGGCAUGAAGACCUUCCCCAUACUGCACACAUACUGACACAUGAACCAUUAUGAACUUACAACCAAAUAUGGUGUCAAGAGUGUACAGUUUAAUGUGGCAGAUCAGCUCUCAACACAUCUGAGCAGGUAUCCUGCUCUAUCUGCAGUCACUGACCUCUCCCUAACAAUGAUGGGCUGCCAAUGUUCAGACUCAAACAUAUCCCUCUGGCCAGUUCUCUGUUCCAAAAACUUGUCACCAGAAUGUAUUUUCCCCUGUACAUAUCCACUGCUGCUUCCAAACCCAAAACCCCAAACUUUGUCUCAUACACUGUUUAGCAAUUGGCAGAACUGAUCUAGGAUGGUCUGACUUGGGAGGCUGUAUGUUACCUGCAAUGCUCCAGCUAAAGCUAUGGUAAUGUGUAUAAAGCAAUUUUCUGGAUACUAUGGGUGCGAUAAAUGUGACCAGAGGGGAUCUUGGGAUGGCCAAAUGAUAUAUCCAGAAACAAAUAACCUGACCAUGAGAACAGAUUGCAGGAAAUAGACUGCUGGAAAGCAACAGAGUUCAGACAGUUUGCUAUCUACACGGGGAAGAUUGUUCUGAAGGGAUUUCUUCAAGACCAGCUCUAUGAACACUUCUUGAGCUUCAGCAUGGCUCUUUGCAUUUUGGGAAACCCAGAUUUCACAAAGUCACGCAAGGACCUUAUGCAAACCAGCAGCAGAGAUAUUUUGUGUAGAGAGGACGGGAGCUGUAUGGAGAGACAUUUUGAUUUAGAAUUCAGCAUUCCUUGCUGCAGCUUGCAGAAGAUGCCCAAAACUUUGGCAGCCUUGACAGCUGCAGUGCUUUCAAGUUUGAGAGCUAUCUUCAUCAAAUGAAAAAACUGGUCCGAUCUAGGAAAAAUGUUUGGGCACAAGUUGCAAAUCGUCUGGAGGACACAUCCAAGACCAAGAUAGAAAUUAAGGAAAAUAAUGUGCCCAAACAAUAUCUUGAACAAUGUUCUGAGGUGUUGUCAGGAAAAGCGGACGAUAUACACAAAUCUACAGCCAUAUCCACUGACACCGUGUUAUUUCUCGUCUCUGUGGAACAUACAUGGCUAACAUUAGGCAUUCUCAAAUGCUUUGCUCAGAAAGAGAGUCCUCCUGUCUUCUGGUGAUUUGCUCUCCAGUGCCAUUCACUUUUGAAAACCUAGAUGUUUCUAGUACAACACGAAUCAACACUGGAAAACAUCACUUAAGUAUAAGGUUUAUCUUAACAAUGUAUUACUCAACCAUCUUUGUGGAUCGAAAGGAUCGAUGUGGUCCUGUUCCACUAUUGGCUCAAAUGUUGGGACCAAGGUCAUAAAAUGUGCCAUUCCGGACAAACAUCUCUGGACAAAAUAUGCCGUCAGAGUAUUUUCUGACACAGAACAGACAGUUACACUCUAAUAAGGUGUCGGGCCCAAAAAACUGUUGAAACUUCCUGUUGAGGACUCGGAUGGAAAUGGUUCACAAAAAAUUAUACCACCAAGAAGAUUUAGAGAAGAACUUCAGCCCAUCGAACCCAGAAAGUCACCACAAACAAAACUAUUUCAAGAGGACAGUGAAUCAUCCCAAGAGGGAACUGUUACACACAGGAUCUUUUAGCUCCGGGAACCUGAGACAUCUGGUCACCCUGUGUGUGAAUUAUUAUAAUAUAGCUUGAAAAAGCUAUAGCUUACAAUAAGUACCUAUACAUCUCACCUGAUAACCGCAGCUCCUGAGCGAUCCGCUGUAAAUUAUCAUCUCGGAGGACCCUGUCAUGUACACACUGCAGGACAUCACAUAGCGCUCGCUGUUCCUGCCAAAGUUCAGGGAGUUACUCCAGACAUCUCUUUUGUUUUCAUGAAAGAAUUUAAGCAAUACUUUUCAUUGAUCCAAUGAUCUAAGAACAAAAAAAACUUUGUUUGUAAAUCUUUUCUCAUCUUUAAUUACAUGUAGGGUAAGUCUCUUUUUUUCUCCAUUUUUAAUGUAUUAAACACACCUUUUUCUUUUAUAAAUUAUUUUUUUUCCUUUAAUUUGUUGUCAUUGUCUAUGAUUUUAAUUUGUUGAUGGUUGUCUUACUGUUUGUAUACAG